CCUACGGGAGGCAGCAGUGGGGAAUAUUGCACAAUGGGGGAAACCCUGAUGCAGCGACGCCGCGUGAAGGAAGAAGUACUUCGGUACGUAAAGCUCUAUCAGCAGGGAAGAAAAUGACGGUACCUGAGUAAGAAGCCACGGCCAACUACGUGACAGCAGGCGGGAUAAGACGGAGGGGGCAGGCGUUAUCCGGAUUUACUGGGUGUAAAGGGAGCGUAGACGGUGGGUCAAGUCUGGAGUGAAAUGCGGCAGCUUAACUGAGGAAUUGCGUUGGAAACUGGCGAACUAGAGGGCGGGAGGGGUAGGCGGAAUUCGUGGUGUAGCGGUGAAAUGCGUAGAUAUCAGGAAGAACACCGGUGGCGAAGGCGGCUUACUAGACCGUAACUGACGUUGAGGCUCGAAAGCGUGGGGAGCAAACAGGAUUAGAUACCCGAGUAGUC
RNAcentral lists this ribosomal RNA (440 nucleotides) under uncultured bacterium. RNAcentral describes it as "partial 16S ribosomal RNA". It matches the Rfam family "Bacterial small subunit ribosomal RNA", at positions 338 to 795 of the family's 1533-position model. The record is from RNAcentral.